GACGAACGCUGGCGGCGUGCCUAAUACAUGCAAGUAGAACGCACAGUUUAUACCGUAGCUUGCUACACCAUAGACUGUGAGUUGCGAACGGGUGAGUAACGCGUAGGUAACCUGCCUGGUAGCGGGGGAUAUCUAUUGGAAACGAUAGCUAAUACCGCAUAAUAUUAAUUAUUGCAUGAUAAUUAAUUGAAAGGUGCAAUUGCACCACUACCAGAUGGACCUGCGUUGUAUUAGCUAGUAGGUGAGGUAACGGCUCACCUAGGCGACGAUACAUAGCCGACCUGAGAGGGUGAUCGGCCACACUGGGACUGAGACACGGCCCAGACUCCUACGGGAGGCAGCAGUAGGGAAUCUUCGGCAAUGGACGAAAGUCUGACCGAGCAACGCCGCGUGAGUGAAGAAGGUUUUCGGAUCGUAAAGCUCUGUUGUAAGAGAAGAACGGGUGUGAGAGUGGAAAGUUCACACUGUGACGGUAUCUUACCAGAAAGGGACGGCUAACUACGUG
RNAcentral lists this ribosomal RNA (505 nucleotides) under uncultured bacterium. RNAcentral's name for it is "partial 16S ribosomal RNA". It matches the Rfam family "Bacterial small subunit ribosomal RNA", at positions 28 to 507 of the family's 1533-position model. The record is from RNAcentral.